UGAUGAAGCUUGACCUUAGAAGCUCUGUAAAUUCUCUUCUUGCUCCUUUGAAAUGGCCCUACCGUCUGCUAGAGAAGUCACAAGUCAAUGAUGGUUGUUGCAUUAAAGCACUCAACAGAUCGCUACUUAAUCCCCAUCCAUUUUUAAAAGGAGUUCACCAAGAUGUUUCAGGUGGAAGAAAAGAAUACUGAAGAGUCUAAUGGCCCUCAAAGUACUAUUUCCACUGCCAGUUUUCACCGCAGAAGCACAGGAAACACCUCAAAGUCCUGCAAAGAGAUGGGUACAACCUCGUGGACAACUGUUGGGCCAAUGCUUUGGUUUUCGGCAGUACACAAACAGAAAGGUCCUGGGCAGCAAGUAACAACAUGAGAUAAGAAAAGAAACCCUACUGGGGUGCCUAAGUGGUUCAGUUGGUUAAGCAUCUGACUCUUG
This is a long non-coding RNA of Lynx canadensis (Canada lynx), 432 nucleotides long. RefSeq lists it as uncharacterized. Lineage: Eukaryota; Metazoa; Chordata; Mammalia; Carnivora; Felidae. The transcript has 3 exons. The record is from RefSeq and is a predicted model, not a curated record.